Molecule: ribosomal RNA, 1378 nt
Filed under: Thyonella gemmata
Lineage: Eukaryota; Metazoa; Echinodermata; Holothuroidea; Dendrochirotida; Cucumariidae
Description: 16S ribosomal RNA
Rfam family: Bacterial large subunit ribosomal RNA
Source: RNAcentral
CCUUACUUUAACCCCACUAUUUUUACUAUUUAUAUAAAUAAAAUUUACAAACUUAUACUCUUAAUUAUCUCUCACACUAAAUACCCACCAAAAACAAUAAGUAUUACAAAAGAAAAAUGAAAUAUCAUGAAAAUUAAAAACUAAAAAGGAGAAAAUUAACGUACCUUUUGUAUUAUGGUUUAACAAGACUUUAAGGAAAACACUCCAAAUCCCGAAAUUUGAAGAGUUAACUUAUUCUACUUUCAAGAGAAAUUACCUACUGUUGCAAGAGUAGCAAAAAAGAAUAAGUUGGAAGUAAAAUGCUCAACGAAUCAAAUAAUAGCUGGUUUUAAAAGAAAAAAGUUAAAGCUUUCUACCCAAACAAAGGAUAUAUAGAAAUGAGAAGAUAAGUUCUCCUUUCAAAAUGGAAACAACCAAGAAUAAAGGAAAAGAAAUAAAAGAAACAAUACAAUGUAGGCCUAAAAGCUGCCACCAAAAAAGAAAGCGUUAUAGCUCCAAACCAAAACUCUAAAAAUCUUAUUAACAAACUUUACCUUAUUUAAAGUAUUUUAAAACUUUAUAAUGUUAAAACUAGUAAAAACCUACUUACCAAAGAUAAACUAUAAACUUUUAUACCCUUAAAACCCAUCAAGAAUAAAAUAAAGUUCUAUCAACACAGACGGUAAACACCACAGGAUAAAGAAGAAAAAAGGAACUAGGCAAACUCAAAAAAGGACUGUUUACCAAAAACAUAGUCCCUUGACAAUACAUAAGGGAUAUCGCCUGCCCAGUGGAACUAAAUCUAAAUGGCCGCGGUACCUUGACCGUGCAAAGGUAGCAUAAUCAUUUGUCUCUUAAAUGGAGACCAGUAUGAAUGGCAACACAUUUUUUAACUGUCUCUUUUCCUCACCUUCUAAACUUCUACUAAUGUGAAGAAGCAUUAAUAAAAAAGAAAGACGAGAAGACCCUGUCGAGCUUAAACUUCUACAAGAAACUCUUAACCUUUUAAAGAAACUACUUAUCUCUCUAGAAGCUUUGGUUGGGGUAACCAUGGAGUAAAACAAAUCUCCAGUAAAACUUUCAGAUUCUUAAUCAAAUAAUUAAUUAAAAAUGAACCAGAAACUACUGGUAAACAGAAAAAGUUACCGCAGGGAUAACAGCGUCAUCUCCUUUAAGAGUCCAUAUUGACAAGGAGGAUUGCGACCUCGAUGUUGGAUUGGGGCCACCAUAGGGUGCAGCAGCUCUAUCUGGUUGGACUGUUCGUCCAUUAAAACCCUACAUGAUCUGAGUUCAGACCGACGAGAGUCAGGUCAGCUUCUAUCUUCUUCUAAUAUUUCUCUCUAGUACGAAAGGACCGAAAGAAAGCUUCCAAUGAUUAACAUUAAGAAGCAUACCAACC